GGUAUUUUGACUAUACAAAGGUAUUGAAAUAAGACUUUAAUUGAGUGCUAAGAGAAUGGAAUUUCAUAAAAUUUCUUUUUUAAUUUUAAAAAUUGAAAUUAAUUUUAUAUGUGAAGAAACAAUAAUAAAAAUUAAGGACAAGAAGACCCUAAGAAUUUUAAAAAUUUUAAUAAAUACUGUAUUUUAUUAAAAUUUUUUAAUUGGGGCGAUUAUUAAAUAUUAAAAACUUUAAUUUUUUUAAAAAAGAACCAAUAAUAUUGGUUAUUUGAAAAAAUACUCUAGGGAUAACAGCGUAAUAAUUUUUGAUAGUUCUUAUAGACAAAAUAGUUUGCGACCUCGAUGUUGGAUUAGGAUUCUUUUUUAAUGAAGAAGUUAAAAAAAGAAGUUUGUUCAACUUUUAAAAUCCU
RNAcentral lists this ribosomal RNA (407 nucleotides) under Amblyomma triste. RNAcentral describes it as "partial 16S ribosomal RNA". Lineage: Eukaryota; Metazoa; Arthropoda; Arachnida; Ixodida; Ixodidae. The record is from RNAcentral.